This 301-nucleotide ribosomal RNA is filed under the name uncultured bacterium. RNAcentral describes it as "partial 16S ribosomal RNA". It matches the Rfam family "Bacterial small subunit ribosomal RNA", at positions 509 to 807 of the family's 1533-position model. The record is from RNAcentral.
CAGCAGCCACGGGAAUACAGAGGGUGCGAGCGUUAAUCGGAUUUACUGGGCGUAAAGCGUGCGUAGGCGGCUUCUUAAGUCGGAUGUGAAAUCCCUGAGCUUAACUUAGGAAUUGCAUUCGAUACUGGGAAGCUAGAGUAUGGGAGAGGAUGGUAGAAUUCCAGGUGUAGCGGUGAAAUGCGUAGAGAUCUGGAGGAAUACCGAUGGCGAAGGCAGCCAUCUGGCCUAAUACUGACGCUGAGGUACGAAAGCAUGGGGAGCAAACAGGAUUAGAGACCCGCGUAGUCCCUGUCUCUUAUAC